CGGGACGUGGCGCAGUUUGGCAGCGCGCAGCGUUCGGGACGCUGAGGCCGCCGGUUCAAAUCCGGCCGUCCCGACCA
This 77-nucleotide transfer RNA is filed under the name Acidimicrobiia bacterium. RNAcentral's name for it is "tRNA-Pro". It matches the Rfam family "tRNA". From Rfam's summary of the family: Transfer RNA (tRNA) molecules are approximately 80 nucleotides in length. Their secondary structure includes four short double-helical elements and three loops (D, anti-codon, and T loops). Further hydrogen bonds mediate the characteristic L-shaped molecular structure. tRNAs have two regions of fundamental functional importance: the anti-codon, which is responsible for specific mRNA codon recognition, and the 3' end, to which the tRNAs corresponding amino acid is attached (by aminoacyl-tRNA synthetases). tRNAs cope with the degeneracy of the genetic code in two manners: having more than one tRNA (with a specific anti-codon) for a particular amino acid; and 'wobble' base-pairing, i.e. permitting non-standard base-pairing at the 3rd anti-codon position. The record is from RNAcentral. Lineage: Bacteria; Bacillati; Actinomycetota; Acidimicrobiia.